RNAcentral lists this long non-coding RNA (1057 nucleotides) under Canis lupus familiaris (dog). Its description in RNAcentral is "lncRNA (ENSCAFG00845016906.1)". Lineage: Eukaryota; Metazoa; Chordata; Mammalia; Carnivora; Canidae. The record is from RNAcentral.
AAAAAAAAAAAAGAUUGUAUUUUUAAGUAAUCUCUGCACCCAACAUGGGACUCAAACCCACAACCCCGAGGUCAACAGUUGCAUGCUUCACCAACUGGGCCAGCAGGUGCCCCAUGUUACGUGUAUUUUAACACACACACACACACAAAAAAAAAGGUGGGAUGCCUGGGUGGCUCAGGGGUUGAGUGUCUGGCUUUGGCUUAGGGCGUGACCCCGGGGUCCUGGGAUCAGGUCCCACGUCGGGCUCCCCGCAGGAGCCUGCAUCUCCCUCUGCCUGUGUCUCUGCCUCUCUGUGUCUCUCAUGAAUGGAUGAAUAAAAUCUUUAAAAAAAAAAAAAUUAGACUAUAGGACACUAAUGGGUGUAUACACUCCUCUGGGACAGAGUCCCAAGGCCAAGUUCUUGAAGGGGAAAUUCUGUGCCCUGCACCGUCCGGCCCAUAACAUCUGGCUGAGCCCCUCUUAAGAAACCCUGCUCUCCGAACAGGUCCCCCGGGGGAGCAAGGUCCCUGAUGGGAGCCAGGUGGGCCUCUCAGUAGGGCCCCUGCCACCUGUAGGGGAGGGGUGGGGUCAGGCCUCUAGAGCCCAGGUAGUGACAGCCUCAUGGCACCUGCACCGUCCCCAGCAGCCACUGUGGGGCGUCCAAGAGCUGUGCAUGGCGCCGCCUGCAGCUCCGGAGAGGCCCUAGGACAGAGGUUCACAGGUGCUCCGGAUAACCUUAACCGUCCACAGCACAUGCGGAUCACAAGCCAAGCUUGUGCUCUUCCUCUGCCUCCUGACUGGUGACUGGAUACAUUACUCAGCCGCCUUCUCCCGGCCGUAAAGUGAGGGAGAUGGUAGUAGAGCCGCCCCCCCCCCACAGGCCGGGGCGUCCUCACGCAACUGACGAAUAGUGCAGUGCUCAGUACGAGUGUGGCACUCGGAGCCCUCAGCACACCAGCAUCACCAUCACUGUCAUCACCACCGUCAUCAUCGUUUUCUCAUAUUGUGGCCCCAGGUCAUACGGCUGGAUUUGAAUCCUGAGCCGGUGACAGGAAGUUGCACUGGAACCACCCGAUCG